UACGUAGGGACCAAGCGUUGUUCGGAUUUACCGGGCGUAAAGGGCGCGUAGGCGGCAUAUUAAGUCAGCUGUGAAAUCUCCGAGCUUAACUCGGAACUGUCAGCUGAUACUGAUGUGCUAGAGUGCAGAAGGGGCAAUCGGAAUUCUUGGUGUAGCGGUGAAAUGCGUAGAUAUCAAGAGGAACACCUGAGGUGAAGACGGGUUGCUGGGCUGACACUGACGCUGAGUGCGCGAAAGCCAGGGGAGCAAACGGG
This 254-nucleotide ribosomal RNA is filed under the name uncultured bacterium. Its description in RNAcentral is "partial 16S ribosomal RNA". It matches the Rfam family "Bacterial small subunit ribosomal RNA", at positions 524 to 776 of the family's 1533-position model. The record is from RNAcentral.